Molecule: long non-coding RNA, 2508 nt
Organism: Liolophura sinensis
Lineage: Eukaryota; Metazoa; Mollusca; Polyplacophora; Chitonida; Chitonidae
Exons: 3
Source: RefSeq, a predicted model, not a curated record
ACAGGCUAUUGUACUGCCUGGAGCAAAUGCAUUACUGACUAUCAUACUGCCUGAAUCCCAAGCAGUGUGGGCCAGUGUGCUGUAACUAAAGGUAAGUAUCUUUGUAGGAAAUAUUAUCAUUCAUAUGAACCAGUGUCGCUCAAUAAGUCAGCCCCCUAAAGAUAUUUGGAGAUCGCUUUGUCCAAUGACUGAAAUGAUGUUCUAAACAUUACAUCGAACACAAAUUACUCACUCAUUCAGUCAUCCUCAAAAAAAAAGAACCCACUUAAAAACCGUUAAAAUGGGAAAAAACUUUUGUACAUAGCUUAAUCGGGUAAUGUACAUAGUUGUGUUUAGUGUACUUGAUUUGUUCUUUUACAGGAGCUUAGGUCAUGGAAAUCUCAGUAAUUGUUGGCACUGGAGCUUGUGGGAGAAAAAAACUUUUGAUAUCUGCAACUGCAACUUCCUGUGAAGUGAAUCCCAGAAAUUCAGUGCUUAUCGAUGCAGCUCAAAUUGUAUCCCAGUUGUCUUCUAGUUAAUGCACUUCAGUGAUCAAUUUCUGAGGGUCUUGGUGGCAAGGUGGACGAUUAUGGCAGAAACAUGCUAUUGGACAUCAUUUGUUGGACACCUCCUGCAGUCCACCGCAGUAUAAUACAAGUGCUCUCCUCCUCUCACCAUUACCACUCUGCGUUUAUCUUCGGAUAGACACUGGCGGCUCAGGACCUUAUGGAAUGGACCAGUAUAUCCCGCAAAAAUGGAACAAAAUGGCAGCAAAGAACUCAAAAGUCGUAUAUGCCAUCUUAAGUCAGUAUCACUGUGGGUGAUGGAGAGUAACACUUCCAUCUAAACAAAUGUUACCUCUAGAACACUAAUACUGCGAAGAACUUGCGCAUGUGGUUUCUUUUUAUGACAACUUGACAAAUCUAUCUUAUAUGGUUAGAUCUGCUGAGAAGGAUGGUAAAAUGUUAGGUGUGCUGGGAAGCAUAAUUCGUGUGGCAAAUCAAGAAAAUCGCCAGAUCACAGAAGCUAUCGGCUGGCUGGAAAGUUGAAGAUACAACAUCUAGAUUGAAUUAAAUGAUGACCUAUAACAGCUACAGAAAACUUUCGCUAUUUCUAAUUCAGGUAUUAACCAUUCCGGAUGUGAGCCACGUGUAACAAGCCCUUUAUGAUAGUAACAUUUAUUGGUGGUAACACCUGAAUGAACUGUCUUGUAGAUACUUCACUAACUGUACCGUAACACCAUCAUGUAUGCGAAACUGAAACUGUAAUUCAAAAUUGAGGUAAUAUAUAUAUUCGCCUUACAUACCACAAAUCUCUGUGAGUUCAACUCCAGCUUAUGCUAUCUUCUUCUCUGUUUGUAAGUGGAAAGCUCUGGCUAUAAGUGGAAAGGUCCGACAGCAACCUGCAGAAGGUCGUGGGUUUCCCUAGAGCCCGGUUUCCUCCCACCAUAAUGCUGGCUGCCGUCGUAUAAGUGAAAUAUUCUUUAGCACGGCGUAAACACCAAUCGAAUAAGUAAAUAAAGACAUACCCCAAAGUAUGGACAUCUCUGAUUUUUGUAAGUACAAUUACAGUGGAUUUUUUUAGUCGCUCUGGCGGGCAACCAAGGCGUUCAACUCUGGUUCACCCCUCUCACCAUGGUUGCCACCCACUUUUUGUGACAUUUUGGUAUAUGAUCAUUUAACGUACAGUACAAUAAAAUGCAAUGACAUAAAAAAUAUCUGAUAAAAGUGAUUUUGUGAUUGGUGCUGAAAUGGUUAAAUACGUUUUGAUCCAUCAGUUAUGUUGCCUUUGAAUACCCUUUUGAAAAGUAUGAAACUAAAUUUUUAGGCAGCCAUAUUCAUUUUCAUUGAUGUACGGAUUGGGUGACAGCCAAAUUACAUUUUUGUGAACAGAAUUUUUCGGACAUGUAUUUUUUGACCAAAUUCAAAGCACGGUCGAUUCAUGAAUGAAAUGUACACUUUAUCCGAAUAUAGCCGACAUAUUUCCUGGAUGAUACAGAAGACGGCUUAUAUCGUAUAUGUAGUAGCAGAUUAGUCAAGUAUGUUUUGUACGGUAUAUUCGACCGUGAAUGUAAUAUUUGAUGUUAUAUUUUGUUGUUGUGUGAGACGACACUGUAGGAUGAAUUAAGUUUUGUAACAGAAGAUAUAAACCAAGAGAAAGGUCGUUAUUGAGCGAUUAUACAGUACGAAGCAUUUUAAUUUUUAUCAUGUACUGUGAAGAGUUCUUUUCCGUCGAGCCUCAGUAAGCGUCAUUUUCAUUUAGCUUGUUUAUGUACGAUUGGUAUAACUGUGUUAUGGCAAAGUAAAUCCAAAGGGCAGAACUCUUAAUCAGUGAUUGUUUCUCCCAAGGAAAGUUCGACCAUGGAAAGACUGCACUUUUGAGGACAUGCAUGCAAUCCUGGCUUUCCCGCCGAGCGAGUCACGCGGGCGCUCAAAUGCGACUUCACCCUUACGGGGUCGUCUCACAUUUUCGAAUGGUCAUUUAUCUAUUUCAAUUCUGUCGAUUUUCUAACCGUUCACGGGUCCCCCA